RNA transcript from Triticum dicoccoides, 1233 nucleotides. RefSeq lists it as uncharacterized. The record is from RefSeq and is a predicted model, not a curated record. Lineage: Eukaryota; Viridiplantae; Streptophyta; Magnoliopsida; Poales; Poaceae. The transcript is spliced from 2 exons.
GUCUUUCCUAUUCAGCGCCGCCACUGCAUCUUCCUCGGGAUCCUCUCAGAUCCCCUUCUCACCCAACCAGUGCGAUCCACCAAUCUAGCCCCCUCCAUCCACCGACGCCUCCCCUCCUCGAUCCCGAGGGGAUCACGAGCAGCUCCCCACCGGUUGCCAGCGCAGCAGCGCACCUCACCUCGCGCCAUGGGGCUCCAAGUCCGCCCGGCUCGCCGCCGCUUCUAUCCGGCAGGGAACGAGACCCCGAUGACCUCCCGUGACCGGAUCCAGCACCACCACGGUCGCCACCGCAGCCUCGCCCCCAGUUUUUCGCGAGCAGAGACCCCCAGCGAACCUCUCGCUCCCUUGUGCAAGCCCCUGCUCCGCCCCUCCGUCCUCGCCGUUGGCCCCGGCGGCGCCGCCCCUCGCAGGUCAUCUGGAGCUCCCGAGGACGCCAUGGCUCCUGGACCUCAAGUCUUCACCGGAUCCGACUGGGAAUGGAGGGUCUAGCCCAUCCCCGACCUCUGGCCGUCCCCUGCCUCGCCGGAGCGCCUCCCCGCCAUGACUGCCUGGACCUGAAGCCCAUCUUCACCCUGUUCCACGCCUCGCCUCGCCUCGCCUCUGGUCAAAUCGGCUCCAUAGGGCUGGGACCGUUCGUCCGCUCCAUCCCUGCAGUUCCGCCGGAGUCCUCAGCUCGCCGGAGUUGCGCCAAGUUCCCCUGCAUCGCGCCAGACGCCGCCCUCCGCUGCUGCCUUGCCGCCGUUCCCCUGCGUACUCUGCUUCGUUCGAACGAUUUUUUGUCGAAAGAAACCACCUGUGCAGCCGAAUUGCCAGAAAAGACCCCCUUUAAGACAAUUUGACAAAAAAGACCCCUUUGGCCGUGGCGGCAGGCGCGCCAGGCGACACGUGUCACCUGCCGCCACUGUGCGAGGCGGCAGCCCCUGCCGCCACGGCGUCAGGCGGCAGGCUGCCUGGAACGGGAAUCAACUACUCCGAUGAAACGGGCUGGUGCUGUGGGCCCCAACCGCCUGAGGGGCUGGCGGCAGGACUGUAACAGCCGGGCCCGGCCGCCUCAUGGACUGGCGGCAGGUCCCCAUGCGGUACUCGCCAGCGCCAAUGAUAUAGCUACAAGUUUUUUUUUUUGCAUGGUAUGUAGCUACAAGGUUUAGGCAGGCAGUGGUACCUUGCUACUUCAUUAUACGCGUGCGUGCUUUCAUUUAUAUGUACUUGCAUGCCAAUGAGUGACCGGUUGUA